This 637-nucleotide ribosomal RNA is filed under the name uncultured bacterium. RNAcentral's name for it is "bacterial SSU rRNA". It matches the Rfam family "Bacterial small subunit ribosomal RNA", at positions 10 to 693 of the family's 1533-position model. The record is from RNAcentral.
AGUUUGAUCCUGGCUCAGAACGAACGCUGGCGGCAUGCCUAACACAUGCAAGUCGAACGAACCCUUCGGGGUUAGUGGCGCACGGGUGCGUAACGCGUGGGAACCUGCCUUUUGGUUCGGAAUAACAGUGAGAAAUUACUGCUAAUACCGGAUAAUGUCUUCGGUCCAAAGAUUUAUCGCCAUUAGAUGGGCCCGCGUAAGAUUAGCUAGUUGGUGGGGUAAAGGCCUACCAAGGCGACGAUCUUUAGCUGGUCUGAGAGGAUGAUCAGCCACACUGGGACUGAGACACGGCCCAGACUCCUACGGGAGGCGGCAGUGGGGAAUAUUGGACAAUGGGCGAAAGCCUGAUCCAGCAAUGCCGCGUGAGUGAUGAAGGCCUUAGGGUUGUAAAGCUCUUUUACUGGGGAUGAUAAUGACAGUACCCAGAGAAUAAGCUCCGGCUAACUCCGUGCCGGCAGCCGCGGUAAUACGGAGGGAGCUAGCGUUGUUCGGAAUUACUGGGCGUAAAGCGCACGUAGGCGGCUUUUUAAGUCAGGGGUGAAAUCCCGGGGCUCAACCCCGGAACUGCCCUUGAAACUGGGAAGCUAGAAUCUAGGAGAGGCGAGUGGAAUUCCGAGUGUAGAGGUGAAAUUCGUAG